GAUGAACGCUGGCGGCAUGCUUAAUACAUGCAAGUCGGACGGAAAGAGGUGUUUCUUGUGGCGGACGGGUGAGCAACGCGUAAGAAACUGCCCUUGGGAGGGGCACAAUAGCUGGAAAGGGCAGCUUAUACCACCCAGGCCGAGGAGCAAAAGGUGGAAUCAGCCUGAGGGUGGGAACGCGUAUGACUUGCUAGUUGGUGCGUCAAUAGCUUACCAAGGCGAUGGUCCGUAGCUGGUACGAGAGGAUGAUCAGCCACACUGGGACUGAGACACGGCCCAGACUCCUACGGGAAGCAGCAGUGAGGAAUUUGCCGCAAUGGGCGAUAGCCUGACGGGGCAAUGCCGCGUGGAGGUAGAGGUCCUACGGGUCGUGAACUUCUUUUCCCGGAGAAGAAGCAAUGACGGUAUCUGGUGAAUAAGCAUCGGCUAACUCUGUG
RNAcentral lists this ribosomal RNA (437 nucleotides) under uncultured bacterium. RNAcentral's name for it is "partial 16S ribosomal RNA". It matches the Rfam family "Bacterial small subunit ribosomal RNA", at positions 28 to 507 of the family's 1533-position model. The record is from RNAcentral.